CAAGCAUGACAUACAAGUUCAUGAAGUGUUCCAUAUUUUU
This 40-nucleotide small nuclear RNA is filed under the name Cervus elaphus hippelaphus. Lineage: Eukaryota; Metazoa; Chordata; Mammalia; Artiodactyla; Cervidae. The record is from RNAcentral.